Molecule: ribosomal RNA, 480 nt
Filed under: uncultured cyanobacterium
Lineage: Bacteria; Bacillati; Cyanobacteriota
Description: bacterial SSU rRNA
Rfam family: Bacterial small subunit ribosomal RNA
Source: RNAcentral
CGGGAAUGCAGUGACAGGUGGUGCAUGGCUGUCGUCAGCUCGUGUCGUGAGAUGUUGGGUUAAGUCCCGCAACGAGCGCAACCCACGUUUUUAGUUGCCAGCAUUUAGUUGGGCACUCUAGAAAGACCGCCGGUGAUAAACCGGAGGAAGGUGUGGAUGACGUCAAGUCAUCAUGCCCCUUACACCCUGGGCUACACACGUACUACAAUGCUACGGACAAAGGGCAGCAAACUCGCGAGAGCUAGCAAAUCCCAUAAACCGUGGCUCAGUUCAGAUCGUAGGCUGCAACUCGCCUACGUGAAGUAGGAAUCGCUAGUAAUCGCAGGUCAGCAUACUGCGGUGAAUACGUUCCCGGGCCUUGUACACACCGCCCGUCACACCAUGGAAGUUGGCCAUGCCCGAAGUCGUCACUCCAACCCUUGUGGAGGAGGACGCCGAAGGUGGGGCUAAUGACUGGGGUGAAGUCGUAACAAGGUAACA